UUUAUGGAGAGUUUGAUCCUGGCUCAGGAUGAACGCUGGCGGCGUGCCUAAUACAUGCAAGUCGAGCGAACGGACGAGAAGCUUGCUUCUCUGAUGUUAGCGGCGGACGGGUGAGUAACACGUGGAUAACCUACCUAUAAGACUGGGAUAACUUCGGGAAACCGGAGCUAAUACCGGAUAAUAUUUUGAAUCGCAUGGUUCAAAAGUGAAAGACGGUCUUGCUGUCACUUAUAGAUGGAUCCGCGCUGCAUUAGCUAGUUGGUAAGGUAACGGCUUACCAAGGC
This 284-nucleotide ribosomal RNA is filed under the name Staphylococcus aureus. RNAcentral's name for it is "partial 16S ribosomal RNA". It matches the Rfam family "Bacterial small subunit ribosomal RNA", at positions 1 to 274 of the family's 1533-position model. The record is from RNAcentral. Lineage: Bacteria; Bacillati; Bacillota; Bacilli; Caryophanales; Staphylococcaceae.